UGGAUUUAUCAAACAAUAAUGAGAGAGAUUUGGGGCCAAAGAUUCUGUUUAUUGAAGUGUUUAAGCCGUAACCGGAAAAAAAAUAAAAAGUUGAAUAUCUAAAAUAAGAAUGGGUUGUGGAUUGCUCUCAUAAAAUGAAUUUUUAUUCUCUCUCCUUAUCCUAAUCCUCUCGCUUCUCUCUACAACCUCAAGAACUCCACCGCGUUUCCACCGGCGUUGGCGGCUCGCCGCUGGUGCCGGUGCCUCCUUCUCCCCUCUCGUUUUCCCUUUGCUUCGUUACUUAGCCUCUCCCCCUAGCCGAUAUGCUGAAGCACUGAUGUCGUUGGUUGAUGAUUGAUUCGGGGUCCGACCAUGGCGGUUCUUCCAGAUCUGUCGUCACCGGUGGCCUUGGUUGGACAGCGAGGUUCGUGGAGGUGCGGCUAGUUGCGGAGUCGGAUUUUAAGGUGGCUAGGGUUUUGGAUCUGCCGAUUUUCAGAUCUCUUUGGUGUGAUUCUCCCUUAGCCAGUUCUGGAGGCGCGUGAGUCACGGAGAUGGCUCAAUCGGUUCAGAUCUGUCAGCGGUCUGUGUUGAUGUGGGGUUGGCUCUCUGCCUUGGUGUCUCGGCGACAGCGACUUGCCAUUCAUACCCAAGUAGGGCUUCGUGGGCUUUGCUCACAAAGGUGUUGGCGCGUGUUGCUCAAAGGAUAGUGUCUGGUACUCAGGCGUCGGCUGUCUGGUCAAGCUUCCCCUGUCUUUGCUCUCUUCGGUUUCACAGAGAUGGUGGGUUGGAGAGCCCGUUUCCUGGUUUUGAGCUCUCCAGGCUUCUGGGCUUUGGGGUCUUGGUUCUUCAUCUUCAGGGUCAUGCGUUCUGUCUCGUUUGAUUCCAUUAUCUCGUAAGGAAACUCUCUCUUGUUUUAAGAGAAGUAUCGUGGGUGGUGUUUAUCGGGUUCGUGGUCAUGGAGCUCCGGUUUCUCCUCCUCGACGGCACGAUUAAGGCUGUUUCAUCCCAGUGUCGUGGUGUUCCCUUGGAUUUCCCGCGGCAGAACUAGUCUUCUUCCUUUCAGUGCAGGUCCCGUUUUCUCCUACACCUAGCUUCCUCCUUAGCAACAUGUCCUUUCGGCCAUUGGAGUUGUGUGUGUGCUCGUGCCUCUCACGUAUGUUGCUACUCACCUUCUGUGUGCUUAAUUGUCAGUGGUAGUGCUUGUUUGGACGAGAGUGAGGAUGCUUCGGCUCCUCUCUGGAUUAACAGCUCUGGAAGGCAAUCGAAUGUAAGGCCCGGAGUUGCUUCUGUGACUUGUCUGUGUAGUCUGACCAUUUUCACCUUCCGGUAGUUUGUCGUACCAAUUUUACUUUCGUUCAUCUUGUGAGCCAUUGUUAUUCACCUUAUAGGGUUUUGCUUAUCGGUGUUGUUCUUCGUGUUUUCCUUUAGUACCAGUUGUAUUUCUUUUAUUUUGUUCUAUUUUUCUUCUUCUUUGUGAACUCUGUAUCCUCUUUUUUCCGUGGAUUGCUCUCGGGCUCGUACUUCUUCUUCUUCUUCUUAGUUAAGCUGCGCUUUUUUGUGUGCUUCGGUCACUGAUUUCGGAUCAGAUCAACUUGUGGGGCCGAGCGGGUAUCCAGGCACAUAUCCAACAUUAUUUAUGUUGUCGAGUUAUAAAAUGUGAUCUUUAAGAUAUUUUGUUGUUUUAUUUAGUAUUUUAAUCAUUUUAAUUUGAGAAAUUCCUUAAGAUAGCCUUUUUUAGUUUUUAUAAAAAAAUAGUGAUCAAAAUAAGUUUUACUAAAAGGUGUGAAAAUAGUGAUCAAAAUAAGUUUUACUAAAAGUUGAAAAAUGUAUUUUUACCCUAGAAUUAACUAAUCUAGACUUAGGGUUUAUGGUUAAGGGGUGGAGUUUUGGGGAUAUAGUUUAAAUUUUUUUUAAAAAAUAUAUAUUAAAAAUUUUAAAAUAAAAAGUGGCUAUUUUGGUUUUUUUUUGUUUAAAAACUAUUUUAUGACAAAAACUUAAAAAUGAUUAUCCGAGAGAAUUCACUUUUUUAUUUUAAUCGGCUCAAAUUUUGUUGUUAUCGAUAUAAAGUAUUUAGAGAAACAUAUGUUUUUAUGUUACUCACAAUUUUUAUGUUCCAUUAAAAUUAUUAGCGUAGAAAUUUCAAUCAUACCAAUCCACAUCCAGGUAGCCCAAUCCCCAAUAGGUUCGACUGUAUUUUGAUAUAUGCGGGCCAGUCCACAGAAAAUUACGGUUUGUAUACAUAUAUCCCGAUCUAUCUCACUAUUAGACUAUUUGCGGUCCAUUUUGACAUCAUUGUCUCCACCUAAUUUAAUUUUGUUUUAUCAUGAACCGUAAGGACCCGUAAAUUUUUCUUGGACGGUAGGCACUAAAGUUAUGUGGCUAUGCCUAGGCACGAUGUUUGAAUGUUCAAUUAGGUUCGACUCGGUUUCAAUUAAAUUUUAGUUUUUCAGGAAUAUAAAAUUUAACCACUUUGAAUAUUUUUAAACUUUAACUAAAAUUCGGUUAUGUUUUUUUUGGGAUUCGCUUCGAAUAUAUUAACAUAUCGCAAACUUAGUUGAACCCGUUUUAAAUUUCAGUUAAUUCUAAUUUGGAUUUCGAUUAUCAAAUACUUAUUUAUUUGUGAUUCGAAAAUACAAUUUUACUUCAUAAAUUUGUAAGUUAAAACAAAUUACACUAACAAAAACUUGGUAUAGUAUGAUUCAAAAGUGGUAGUUGAAAAGACAAAAACAUAAAUAAAUUCAAACUACCAAUUUACAACUCUACGAAUGUAUAAAACAUUAUUUAAACUUCAAAAUAAAGAAACAUUAUUUAAAGUUUAGAAGCAAACUUAUUUCAUAAUCAAACUUUAAAUGCAACUAUUAUAACAUAAAACUAUAAAAUUUAACCAAAUAUCAAAAUAUACAUUAAACUAAGUAUUGAGUUAAUUAUUAAUCUAAUACUUAUUUUACAUACAUUCUUAAGUAUUUUAAGUACUUAUUUGGGAUUGGUUCAAAUUUUCUUUUUAAAUUUUUGAAAUUUUUCUUUUUAAUUUUGAAAUUUUGUUUUUUUGGGCUAUUCAUUUGGGUAGAACCCCAAAAUCAAAUACCUUAAGACUCAUUUGUAUAUUUAUGUAAAAUUUUAUUUGGUUCAGAUAUAUUUUUCGGGUAGAUUUUGUUUAGAUUUUCAGAUUUUUUCCCACCCACUAGUACAUAUCUUCGGUUCUCCAUUUAGUUCUGAUUUUUUAGAUAUAAUGAAAAAAACUAUUAAGAAAUCUAUAGAAACCGAUUCGGUUUUGGUUUGAUUUUUUUUAUUUACUGUUUAGUAUGAUACUAGUAUUAUUGCCCGUGCCUAGCACGGGUUGAUUUAUUGUCUUUAAAUUUUUUUAUUUUUCUGCUAAAAAAAUAUUUGACCAAACAUCUAAUUUUCAAUCAGAAUAAUUAUUAUUUUUGUCAAAUAUUUUAUGAACCUUGAUAACAGUAGCACAUAAUAUUAGAGGUAUAUGCUUCCAAACAAAACGGAUAAAAAAGAUAAAACAAUAAUUCUUAUCUCAUUCUUAAAAUACAUGUGUGCUAUAGUUUUCCAAAAACAAUUAAUAUAUCUAUAUAUCAAAAUAUAAAAUAUAAAAUAUAAAAUAUUGCUAAAAUACUGUAUGUGAUCCAGUAACAAAUACUUAAUUUAAUAUAAAUUUAGAAAUAGUACAUGUAGUAGUUUAUACAGUGUUUCCAAUCUUUAUUAUCUUACAAUUUUCUUUAUGAUUUUUUUGAUAUGAAAUGUUUAAUUAUCUUUUUUUUAAACAUGUACUUAAAAAUCAACCUAUAUUGGUUAUUUUUAUAGUUUAUUUGUUUUUAAAGCUUAAAAUUUUAAAAAUUUGCCUUGCUAUUCUAUUAAAACGUUUUUGAAUUAUUAAAAUUUCUAGAAAAUUAUAUGUUUUUUUUAAAUAUUAAUUCUUUCGUUUUUAGCUAUUUGUAAAAACUACUUGAAAAAACAAUAGAAAAUUUGAGAAUUUGCAAAAUUAACUACAUAAAUUAUUGGAAAUUUUGAAACUGUUUUAACACAUGAUACCGACUAAGACAGUCUAAAUGGUCAAGCAAUAAUGUAGAACAUUAAAGAGUUAAGGCCUUAAUUUGGUGUGUAAAAACUACUGUAAAAGGAAAAAUGAAAUUAUUUUUUUACCUGAAAUUCUGACUGGUCACAAGUUUUGCAUCUGAUUUAUCUAACCCAUUCGUCUUCAACCUUCUUUUUUGUGAAAGGACUUGUCUUCAACCUUCGUCAAAUUUAUUCUAGAAUAGACCUCAUCUAAUUUUCAAUCAGCUUUGAUUUCUCAUGCAUAUCUGCAACAAACAAAAAUAAUUGAUAAACUGAACAAUAUAAAUAUUUAUGCUUUUUUCUUUCAAAAAAUAUAUCUAUGCUUUUUUUUUGUUUAUUCAUAUUUUUGGAAAAUUAGCUAAACUUAUGAAUUCCUCAUACACCUGCAGGAAUACUACAAAUUCUGGAAGCCAUGCAACAAAAUACUUAAGUUAGAAGGAUAUCUCCAUAUUACCUUACUCGUAUUAAUCUCUUCUAACACGAUGAUUUCAAACUUGAUACUUUGAAAAAGGUUUAAAGACACAUGUAUAUUGAUAAAAAAUGCAUGAUUUAGAAAAACUCGUGGAUGAUAGAAAAUAGAAGUUUUGUAUUGGUGCAGAAAACAAAAAGAAGAUAUGAAUAAACCAGUCAAUUAAAAUUGAAAAUUUAGGAGAGGUAAUGGAUCAGUUGUUUCUUUGAGCAACUGAAGAUAGUAGAAGAACGGUUUUACUUUAAUGAAGCUUGUAUAUAAAUUUGUUGAUAUGAUCGAACUGAUUUCAAAAUUAUUUAUUUAUAUUAUAAACAACUUAUGUGAAAGAGGUGAGGAUCGUGGUUAGGAAGAAAAUCAGUAUGCUUAGAAACUUGUUGAUGACGUUUUUAAAAUUACUAGAUUCUUUGUCCGCGCUACGCGCGGAAAAUAGGCUAUUUCAAUUUUGUGUUUAUUUGAAUUUUUUUUUAUUAUUAGUAAUUUUUAUAUUAAGAAAUAUGGACUAUUUUAAUUUUGUGUUUGAUUUGAAAUAUUUUAUUACUAUUAAUAAUAUAUAUUAAAUAUUUGUAAAAUGAGAGCAAUUUAUUUAAAAUAAUUCGAAAAUAUUGAUGAAGUAGCAAUUUACAAAAGCUCUACACAAUUUUAUCUCCCAAUAAAUCUCAUCUUUAUAGUAGAUUUCUUAUUCACUCUAAUCAUGCUUUCUUACUCACUAACACCUAGACAUCACAUAUGUCUUUUUAUUUAUUCUCUAUAUAUUUAAAUUGCUUAGCAAAGAUUGAAAGACAUAAGUUGAGUUUUAGAUUUUAUAUAGAAGUAGAGAUCUAAAAAAAAAACAAUGAUAAAAUAGUUUAAAAUGUAAAUAAAUCUAGGUAUCAAGUUCUCUGAGAAAGAGAAUAAUAAUCCGAAUGAUGCAUGAAUUAGAAUCACUCUUUGUUGUAUGCUUUUGCAUGAUCUCUUAUUCGCCUUUUGAAAUGCUUUAUGUAAUCAAUUGAUUUGUUGAAGUAGAAAUUUGUUGCUGGUGAUGAACGGAGUAGUAGUUUGCCUGAAAAAUAUUGGAUAUUAUUGUUAUGUUGAUAAUAAAAAUUUAGAUCUGUAUUAUUUUUUGAAGUGUUUAAAAAAAUUAUUUACCUUGGAAAAGUUUAGGAAUUAUACUUGUGAUGAUGACAACUUUAAAUUUCAUAUUUUUCUUGCUUUUUAGGAUGCUAAAAUCUGAUGCUUGCUUGUCGCACAUGAUGAGUUUAGCAAUUGUCGACCUGAGAUAGAGAUGUAUGUAUGAAGAGAAUUAUAAUUUCGUGUUUAACUAUUGUGUUAGACUUACCUGUUCAGCCGCAGACCAAUCGUGGCAUCAAUAUUGAGUUUCCGUUGAGCCGACCUUCUAAUAGUUGUCCCUGAGUGUGAACAAAUUUUGUUGUGCCAAACCAAUUAAGUAAAUAAUGAGUAGUUUAAAUCAAAUAUGGUGGAUUGGAAAAUAUAUAUGUAUAUGUUAAAGUUUUAAAAAAGCUUACGUGGUGGUCGUAGCACAGGAAGCCGAUGGAAGUUUGAGUAUUAUCUGUUUGGUGUUUUCUGAUGUCCCAAACAUUGCUUAUACAUACUGUGAUAGGACGCACUGAAAUCCCUUCCUGAAGUUGGUGGAUUCUUUGAGGAAUGUAUUGCAUGUAAGACGUCACUGUAAAACAUGCGAUUUUAAUUAAGGCUGAACUUCAAAGCUCUGAUUGUAAUAAAUGAUUACAUUCAAACAAAUUUUAUUUACUACCAAAACCAAUACAUGGAUUUUAUUUUAUCUGAAUGAUAUGGCACUUCCAAUUGGCUUUUUUCCUUUGUCUUGACUAAUUAGGUAUUUUAAAUAAUAUGAAUAAUGUUUAAAGCAGCGGGUAAUGAAUAAUUUAAAACAAUAUCAUUAAUAUAUAUGGCUGGUCAAACCGGAUUUUUUCUGGGUCACCGGAUUUAACGGUUCAACCGCGGGUCUGGGUCAGGUUUUGUGAAAAACCUAAUAUUUAAAAACCCACGAAAACCAGAAAAAACCCACUAAAACUUGGAAUCCGAUACCGGUUGAACCACCGGUUAAACCAAUAAAUAACUUUUACGUUAUUUUUUUAGUUUUUAGAUUAUGUUUUAUAUUCUAAGUUUUCAAUUAAGAAGUUAGCUGCUGACAAAAUGUCAGGCUUUCCGUUUUUAAUUUAUAUAUGUGAUUUUUAGAAUUUGAUGAAAACUUCACUAUGCCAGUUGAUGUGAUUUGGUGUUAGUUUAUUUCUGCUAUCGAUAAUUUAUUACAAUGAUCUUUUACUUUUGGUUUAUUUUUAAUUUGAAGUUUGAUUUAUUAUUCACAUUAGACAUUUAAAUAUUUAUGAAUUUUAUAUCUUGAUUUUUUAGAUUCAGAAAAUUUUAAAUAGUCUAAACUAUUUUUUGAUAUUUUAUAUGUCAAAGGAAAAUAAAAAUAUAAAAUUAAAGUUAAGUAUUUUCUAAAUACUUUUUAAACAUAAAAUAUACACAUAUCCAAACUAUUAUUUUAUGUUUUAAAAAAAUUUGAAAAUAUUAAACUUUAUUUUUUUAUAUUUAUUUUCAUAGAUAAUAUAUUAUUAUUAUAUUAUAAAAUUAAUUCAUUUAUAAACCCGCAGUUGAUCCAGUGACCCAUCGACCCGGUAAGUCGUCCGGUUCAGUGUCCGGGUCGGAUUUAAAAACAUUGAUUGGAACUAAUAUUAGGUUUUAAGUAAAUAAAAAUAUGACCAUUGACGAAUAGGCUGUGCUAUUAGCAUUUGAAAACAUAUAUAACAAUUUAGCAUUAUUAUUAUUUAUACAAUGGUGUAGUUAUACAUAUCACCACCUAUUUCAGCCAUUAGAUCUGCGAUUAGAGAUUUUGGUGUUAUAGGAUAAAGUAUGAUUAUGAUGCGUUUUGUUUGAUAAAUACUUAUUAUUAUAAAAUUUUGAUGGUUUCCUGAAACAAUAUGAACGGUGUGAUUGGUUUCAAUUUGAAACAUACAUGGUCUGUGGAAUCGAUGUGCCAGAAAUCACUAUUGCAUAAUUCACAAAAAAAAAAAAAAUUUAACAGAUAUAAUCUAUGGUAUAUAGGGAAUUCAUUCGCAAGUAUCACGGAAAAGAAUCAUGAAUUAACGUAAAAAUGGUGUCCAAAUUUUAUAAACAUUGACUUGAACCAUGUAAUAAUUUCCUCCAUAUUUUAAUAUUUGAGAAUUGUCUGAGCGAAGGUUUACGCAGCAAAUGCUCUCUUUAAUUAGAUGAAGAUUAGAGUAUAUAGUGCCUGGUAAUAACAAAUGGGUAAGUUUGUGUGUAGGAAAUUAUAGAUUAGCAUUAACAGUUUAUAAAUGACUUUUGAACAGCUUAGCUGUAUAUAGUAUAAGAUCGUUUUCAAAUUUAUUCAGUGAAGACGAUCAUGCUUGAUCACUGAAUAGGAACAAUGUGCGGUUAUGGUUUACGUGAUUGAUACGUUAGAUAUAUGCAAGCAGCUUUGUAAGCAGUCUGAUUAGCUAAAUGAGAGUCUGCUUAACGUAAACAAUAAUUAAAUUACAUAUUUAUCAUGUGUAAAAAUACAUAAUUAUAUAACUUUAAAAUUUUACAAAUUAUCUAACACUUAAAAAUAAAGAUUUGUGUUACCUGCAAUUUGGACAGGAGGGUUAGGAGGUGGGUUCUCCAUUCUGUCGAUCUUGUGAUCCUUAGACUCAAUCUGUUCAUAAAUCUGUAAUUAGGAAUAGGUAUAGAAAUUUGUUGACUUAUUGUAAAUUCUUACACCUACACUUUGGAGGCUUUUGGGGUAUUGACUUGAUAUUAGCUUAAUUGUCGGUUCCAAUGGCGAAGGUAUGAGAGAAUAAUUAAUCUAGGUGUUUCUUUGAUUGUGCAAGGAAAAAAGUGUUUCUUGAAAGACGGAGGUAGGUGUAAUCCGCUUUGGUUUAUAUUAAAGAUGAAGUUAUUCCUUAGGAGAUAUGAUCUGUAUAUAUUGUUCUGUUUACGUUUUUAUAAGUAGUAGAUAGUAACAAAUUUACUUUAUUAUAAUUGAUGCUAGGUGCUAAACUUAUGGACCAAAUCACGUAGGUCAAAGAUUUAAUAAAUAUGUAAUUCGAUUUGGUUUAUAUUAAAUAAUGAAGUUAUUCCCUAGGAUAUAAGAUCUGCAUAUAUUGCUCUGUUUACGUUUUUGGAAGUAGUAUAUAGUAACAAAUUUACUUUAUUCUAAUUGAUGAUAAGUGCUAAACUUAUGGACCAAACCACGUCUAUCAAAGAUUUAAUAAAUAUGUAAUUUCAAAGACGUUAGCAUUGGAUGUGAUCAUACAUAUACGUUGUUCAGUAAUAAUCACAAAAUCAGAUCCUAAUGACUUCCUUAUUUUAAAGUCUGAAUGUAUGCGUAGUAGUAAGGGAAAAUAAGACUAACAUAAUAUAAAACCAUAAAAGGGAAAGUGUAUUAAAAGAAACAUAGAAAGCAUGCAAUGAACAAAAGUUUGAAGAUAAAAAUGGUAAACAUAAAACAGAACUUAAACUGCAGCAAAAUCAAUCAUGGCAUAAGAGGAUUGAUAAAGCUGUAUUAGCCACUCUUGGGACGUUUGGCUUCAUCCGACUCCAUACCAUCAGAGGCUUUCCUAACCCUCUCACCCACAGUACCAUCAAGACCUCAGAUAGGACCGGAGUCCUCACUUACAGACUUCAAGACAUCAUCAGAUGUUGAUGGAACAGCGUGUUCUUCCAAGAGAGCUACAUGAUGUGGAGCCUCUGGUGGGAAUACCUUCGUGACAGUAAUGGUUUGGGUCUUCCCUGAGAAAUUAAGAUCGGAGACUUCCACAAUGAAUUUAUGUGUCUGCCCUAUUGUAUCGAGUAGAGCCUGCGGCACCGGCACGCACUGAUCAGCCUCUACGCCCUCAUUACACUAACGUUCAAGAAAAAUAUAUGUAAGAUCAACUAACUUGGAGCUAUGUAUAGAUAUGUUUGAAAUUACCUCAAAGUAACUAGCAACUAAUUCUGAUGCAUGUUUUCCAGUCAACUCUCUGCCGGCGUCACCAAGGAUCACGAAAACUGCAUGUUCACUCUUAUCAUAAACAUUAAUCCUCGUGAGGUAUCUGCAAUGAGAGGCGAUUAGAUAUUAGCGGUGGGAAAAACAUAUAGAUGAAACUGUAUAUAGGACACUCACUGAGGAAUGCCUGUAAAAACACUCUUGUCACAUUUCUUGUUGUUACAAAUGAGAGAGGUAGGCCCAUUGACUGCCUUACUGUUACACCCACCGCAUGAAAUAUAAUACCAAGCGGAACCACGAACGACAUCAUCUAUAGUUGCUGUACAUUCGAACCACGCAACCUCCCAUUUUGAAAAUAAAAUAAAUUAUAUUAAUACACAAUGAAGCAUAACAUAAUAAGUGUGAGACAGAACAACUAUUGUACCUUAGCAGUUUCCAGUUUGAUGUAGGAGAAAAGUUCCGCUAGAGUUGCGGUCUCAGGCUUAGUAACAACCUCUGCAUCAAUUUUGUUAGCAAUAUCUGAGUUGAAACUCAACCUGAGAAAACGGGGAAACCAAAAAAAAGUCAGUGCUGAGUUCGCAUGAGAUACCAAAACAGUAGUUCAAUGAAAAUUCUAACUGAAUACCAAAAUGCAUACCAGGCAAGAUAGUCCCUGCUAGGCUGGACAUCAGCAUCCAUAAACACUCGAGAUGAUGACAUCGACGUGAGAGCAAGGGUUCCUGUUCACAACACAUUAAUUAAUUACUACCAUACAACUCGUGAGUACACAACCAAUUACGACCACGGUCUCAAAUAACAGUAAAGAUGUCUCAAUACAAUUCAGUUUGAGUUACCACACAUACGUUCUAUAUGAGUACACAACCAAUUACGACAAAUAAUGAGACAAUAUAGUUUUAGUGACUUAAUCCGGUAGUUGAACGAAAUGCUUACCUCCAAGAUGUUUAGGGUUUACUGUUGUGACCAAAAUAACGCUUGGAGUGCUUACAUACGACUUGAAUUUCUCGCAGAAUUCAGAUGCUGCAUGGUCCCAUAGAUAGAGUUUCAUUACUGGCCCGCUGCACAAGUAUAAAUAAUGUGUUAGACAUAACACACAAAAACGCGUCUAAUAUUUGAACAAACUUACCCAUGUGUCUAAACAUGAACACAUAGAUGUCGCUUCUCUGCUAUAUCAACUUCGUCGAGGACCAUACGUUCAGUGAUAGCCUGCCCAUCCACCAGCUUCAUGUGGCCAACAUAGUCUGAGAUAGAACAAUUCAAAGGAACAAUGUUAUUUGGGUGGAAAACCAAAUGAUUUAAGUAUAAAGAUCAACAGUGCUUACCAUAAAGAUUAAUUUUGCGGUCGCAGUCGGCCUGAAACUCUUCGUAACUGUAGAACCUGAACCUAUCUUCCUGGAAUGCAACCGGAGGGUUAUCAAUAACCGAUAGCUCAGAAUUCCAAGAAAAUGUGACGGUGGCGCUAUGAUCNNNNNNNNNNNNNNNNNNNNNNNNNNNNNNNNNNNNNNNNNNNNNNNNNNNNNNNNNNNNNNNNNNNNNNNNNNNNNNNNNNNNNNNNNNNNNNNNNNNNNNNNNNNNNNNNNNNNNNNNNNNNNNNNNNNNNNNNNNNNNNNNNNNNNNNNNNNNNNNNNNNNNNNNNNNNNNNNNNNNNNNNNNNNNNNNNNNNNNNNNNNNNNNNNNNNNNNNNNNNNNNNNNNNNNNNNNNNNNNNNNNNNNNNNNNNNNNNNNNNNNNNNNNNNNNNNNNNNNNNNNNNNNNNNNNNNNNNNNNNNNNNNNNNNNNNNNNNNNNNNNNNNNNNNNNNNNNNNNNNNNNNNNNNNNNNNNNNNNNNNNNNNNNNNNNNNNNNNNNNNNNNNNNNNNNNNNNNNNNNNNNNNNNNNNNNNNNNNNNNNNNNNNNNNNNNNNNNNNNNNNNNNNNNNNNNNNNNNNNNNNNNNNNNNNNNNNNNNNNNNNNNNNNNNNNNNNNNNNNNNNNNNNNNNNNNNNNNNNNNNNNNNNNNNNNNNNNNNNNNNNNNNNNNNNNNNNNUUUAAAAAUCUAAUGUAUUUUAAAAAUACGGAUCCGGAUCCGGAUAUCCGGACCUAAAAAUUACGAUAUCCGGAUCCGGAUUCGGUUUGCACGGAUCCAAGAUUUUACUAUCCGGAUUCGGAUCCGGGCACCCCGGAUAUCCUAUUUUCGGAGCGGAUCCGGAGCGGAUCUCGGAUCGAAUCCGGAUCUCGGAUAAUAAGUCCCAGGCCUAAUAGGCUGUGCUAUUAGCAUUUGAAAAUAUCUAUAACAGUUUAGCAUUAUUAUUAUUUAUACAAUGGUGUAGUUAUACAUAUCACCACCUAUUUCAGCCAUUAGAUCUGCGAUUAGAUAUUUUGGUGUUAUAGGAUAAAGUUUGAUUAUGAUGCGUUUUGUUUGAUAAAUACUUAUUAUUAUAAAAAAAAUUAUGUUUUUCUGAAACAAUAUGAACGGUGUGAUUGGUUUCAAUUUGUAACAUACAUGGUCUGUGGAAUCGAUGUGCCAGAAAUCACUAUUGCAUAAUUCACAAAAAAAAAAACAAUUUUAACAGAUAUAAUCUAUGGUAUAUAGGGUAUUCAUUCGCAAGUAUCACAGAAAAGAAUCAUGAAUUAACGUAAAAAUGGUGUCCAAAUUUUAUAACCAUUGACUUGAACCAUGUAAUAAUUUCCUCCAUAUUUUUAAUAUUUGAGAAUUGGCUAAGUGAAGGUUUACGCAGCAAAUGCUCUCUUUAAUUAGAUGAAGAUUAGAGUAUAUAGUGCCUGGCAAUAACAAAUGGGUAAGUUUGGGUGUAGGAAAUUAUAGAUUAGCAUUAACAGUUUAUCAAUGAUUUUUUGAACAGUUUAGCUGCAUAUAGUAUAAGAUCGUUUUCAAAGUUAUUCAAUGAAGAUGAUGAUCUUGUGUUUGUUUUGUAUUGUUAGCUCAAUGAAUCAAGUGUAAAUUAUGGUCGUUAUCAACUAUAUACAUUUUAAUGUGUAUAUUAUCAUUGUAGUUACAAGGAAAGUGCAUACGUAAUUGGCGACUCAUGUAUUGGUUAUGCUUCCUCAUAAUGAAAGUAUUUAUGUAUUAAACAAAAUUGUCAAUAUUACAUAGAAACGUAAGGUUUGCGUUUUUCAUAAAGUUACAAUCGGAUCGGUUAAUAGGAACAAUGUGCGGUUAUGGUUUACGUGAUUGAUACGUUAGAUAUGCAAGCAGCUUCGUAAGCAGUCUAAUUAGCUAAAUAAGAGUCUGCUUAACGUAAACAAUAAUUAGAUUACAUAUUUAUCAUGUGUAAAAAUACAUAAUUAUAUAACUUUAAAAUUUUACAAAUUAUCUAACACUUAAAAAUAAAGAUUUGUGUUACCUGCAAUUUGGACAGGAGGGUUAGGAGGUGGGUUCUCCAUUCUGUCGAUCUUGUGAUCCUUAGACUCAAUCUGUUCAUAAAUCUGUAAUUAGGAAUAGGUAUAGAAAUUUGUUGACUUAUUGUAAAUUCUUACACCUACACUUUGGAGGCUUUUGGGGUAUUGACUUGAUAUUAGCUUAAUUGUCGGUUCCAAUGGCGAAGGUAUGAGAGAAUAAUUAAUCUAGGUGUUUCUUUGAUUGUGCAAGAAAAAAGGUGUUUCUUGAAAGACGGAGGUAGGUGUAAUUCGCUUUGGUUUAUAUUAAAGACGAAGUUAUUCCUUAGGAGAUAUGAUCUGUAUAUAUUGUUCUGUUUACGUUUUUGGAAGUAGUAGAUAGUAACAAAUUUACUUAAUUACUUUAUUAUAAUUGAUGCUAGGUGCUAAACUUAUGGACCAAAUCACGUAGGUCAAAGAUUUAAUAAAUAUGUAACUCGAUUUGGUUUAUACUAAAUAAUGAAGUUAUUCCCUAGGAUAUAAGAUCUGCAUAUAUUGCUCUGUUUACGUUUUUGGAAGUAGUAUAUAGUAACAAAUUUACUUUAUUCUAAUUGAUGAUAAGUGCUAAACUUAUGGACCAAACCACGUCUAUCAAAGAUUUAAUAAAUAUGUAAUUUCAAAGACGUUAGCAUUGGAUGUGAUCAUACAUAUACGUUGUUCAGUAAUAAUCACAAAAUCAGAUCCUAAUGACUUCCUUAUUUUAAAGUCUGAAUGUAUGCGUAGUAGUAAGGGAAAAUAAGACUAACAUAAUAUAAAACCAUAAAAGGGAAAGUGUAUUAAAAGAAACAUAGAAAGCAUGCAAUGAACAAAAGUUUGAAGAUAAAAAUGGUAAACAUAAAACAGAACUUAAACUGCAGCAAAAUCAAUCAUGGCAUAAGAGGAUUGAUAAAGCUGUAUUAGCCACUCUUGGGACGUUUGGCUUCAUCCGACUCCAUACCAUCAGAGGCUUUCCUAACCCUCUCACCCACAGUACCAUCAAGACCUUUGAUAGGACCGGAGUCCUCACUUACAGACUUCAAGACAUCAUCAGAUGUUGAUGGAACAGCGUGUUCUUCCAAGAGAGCUACAUGAUGUGGAGCCUCUGGUGGGAAUACCUUCGUGACAGUAAUGGUUUGGGUCUUCCCUGAGAAAUUAAGAUCGGAGACUUCCACAAUGAAUUUAUGUGUCUGCCCUAUUGUAUCGAGUAGAGCCUGCGGCACCGGCACGCACUGAUCAGCCUCUACGCCCUCAUUACACUAACGUUCAAGAAAAAUAUAUGUAAGAUCAACUAACUUGGAGCUAUGUAUAGAUAUGUUUGAAAUUACCUCAAAGUAACUAGCAACUAAUUCUGAUGCAUGUUUUCCAGUCAACUCUCUGCCGGCGUCACCAAGGAUCACGAAAACUGCAUGUUCACUCUUAUCAUAAACAUUAAUCCUCGUGAGGUAUCUGCAAUGAGAGGCGAUUAGAUAUUAGCGGUGGGAAAAACAUAUAGAUGAAACUGUAUAUAGGACACUCACUGAGGAAUGCCUGUAAAAACACUCUUGUCACAUUUCUUGUUGUUACAAAUGAGAGAGGUAGGCCCAUUGACUGCCUUACUGUUACACCCACCGCAUGAAAUAUAAUACCAAGCGGAACCACGAACGACAUCAUCUAUAGUUGCUGUACAUUCGAACCACGCAACCUCCCAUUUUGAAAAUAAAAUAAAUUAUAUUAAUACACAAUGAAGCAUAACAUAAUAAGUGUGAGACAGAACAACUAUUGUACCUUAGCAGUUUCCAGUUUGAUGUAGGAGAAAAGUUCCGCUAGAGUUGCGGUCUCAGGCUUAGUAACAACCUCUGCAUCAAUUUUGUUAGCAAUAUCUGAGUUGAAACUCAACCUGAGAAAACGGGGAAACCAAAAAAAAGUCAGUGCUGAGUUCGCAUGAGAUACCAAAACAGUAGUUCAAUGAAAAUUCUAACUGAAUACCAAAAUGCAUACCAGGCAAGAUAGUCCCUGCUAGGCUGGACAUCAGCAUCCAUAAACACUCGAGAUGAUGACAUCGACGUGAGAGCAAGGGUUCCUGUUCACAACACAUUAAUUAAUUACUACCAUACAACUCGUGAGUACACAACCAAUUACGACCACGGUCUCAAAUAACAGUAAAGAUGUCUCAAUACAAUUCAGUUUGAGUUACCACACAUACGUUCUAUAUGAGUACACAACCAAUUACGACAAAUAAUGAGACAAUAUAGUUUUAGUGACUUAAUCCGGUAGUUGAACGAAAUGCUUACCUCCAAGAUGUUUAGGGUUUACUGUUGUGACCAAAAUAACGCUUGGAGUGCUUACAUACGACUUGAAUUUCUCGCAGAAUUCAGAUGCUGCAUGGUCCCAUAGAUAGAGUUUCAUUACUGGCCCGCUGCACAAGUAUAAAUAAUGUGUUAGACAUAACACACAAAAACGCGUCUAAUAUUUGAACAAACUUACCCAUGUGUCUAAACAUGAACACAUAGAUGUCGCUUCUCUGCUAUAUCAACUUCGUCGAGGACCAUACGUUCAGUGAUAGCCUGCCCAUCCACCAGCUUCAUGUGGCCAACAUAGUCUGAGAUAGAACAAUUCAAAGGAACAAUGUUAUUUGGGUGGAAAACCAAAUGAUUUAAGUAUAAAGAUCAACAGUGCUUACCAUAAAGAUUAAUUUUGCGGUCGCAGUCGGCCUGAAACUCUUCGUAACUGUAGAACCUGAACCUAUCUUCCUGGAAUGCAACCGGAGGGUUAUCAAUAACCGAUAGCUCAGAAUUCCAAGAAAAUGUGACGGUGGCGCUAUGAUCCGUAACCUGAUACUGAGCUUUGUUUCUGGAGCCGUAAAAAUGGCUUAGCUUAUAAACAGAACCAGAAGCCAGCUCAUAUGUCCCAACCCGACCCGCUGGAACAAAACCUUGAAUAACAGUCCCCUACAGAUCAUUUGAGAUAGUCGAUAAAUAGAAAUCAAACAAUAUUAGAGCAAUAUUAAAAAGGGGAUCAGUAGUAAAUGAUUCACAGACAAACCUCUUCAUCUAUGAGGAGCAUCUCCUGUCCAAUGAGCGUUUUCGAGUUUGGAUUUCGAGCCUCCCAGAAAUGAAUCAGUCGAAACCUUAAGUCGGCUUCGUGUGGGCCGAAUGAAACAUCUCUAAAGAGCAUCACUUGAUCGCCACGCGCGGAGGAGAGAGCAGACGAAACAAGAGACUUCCCGUUAGGUUUCAUCACGGUGUCGGAGGAACCGGUAGACAUCCGGCUUGGCCUUGGAGUCACUUGAUCGCCACGCGCGGAGGAGAGAGCAGACAAAACAGGAGACUUCCCGUUAGGUUUCAUCACGGUGUCGGAGGAACCGGUAGACUUCCGGCUUGGCCUUGGAGUCGCGGAGGAGGCGACGGUCUUCUUGUUGGUAUUGCGAUCGCCAGAGUUCGGUGAGUUUCCUUUGGGCUCCAUCGGGAUUUUGUAUGAGAGAAGAAAAUCAAUUGUAAUCGACGCAAAAAAUAGAGAUUUAUAAAUAGAGUAAUGGAGAGGAAGAUGAAAAGAAUCCAUUGAAUGAGAGCAAUGAAGAUGAAAGUAUGUGUUGAAACGGUUCCGGUGAGAAGAGAAAGAGAAGAUCUGGAAGAUGAAAGGUGAGCGAAGAACAACAUAUUCAUCGCCUACAGGAGAGAAUUGUGCCGACAGAGAUAGGGGAAGAAGCCCUAAUCGUAAAAUAAAAGAAGGCAUAUUAGGAAGCCCAAAACCAAAUACAAAAUAAGAAAGACGAAGCCCAAGUCGUGUAAUAGACGGAUGAUAUGUCUAAUUGCUUGAAUAUUACUGGUCGAAUUUCCAAUCCUAGGUGGCGUACGUAAGAAGCCUCCGUAUUCUCCUUUUAAUAGAGUUUUGAUUUCUAGGCAGUUUACGUGAAAAUAGUGGAGGCGGUGGCCUCAAUUGAGAAAUGGUGAUGAAACUUUAUUUUUUAAUGGGAGGAAACUUUGUAUCUUAACACACAAAGUACCCAACGGAGAUUAAAGCUAAGUGGACGCAAGUAAUUAAUAUUGAUUUUUUUGUUUGUUUUAAAUUUUUUUGUCAAGCUGAGAUUCGGAUUCGUCGUGCGACUUGUGAUUUAGUAUAUACGGAUUACUUGAAAAAUUCGGAAGGAGUUCAGGUUUAAGUUAAACCGUUUAACCAUCAUCUAUCUCCGGAACGAGGGGCAGUUCAGUAAUUUAAACAUCUUGAUGGUCAGACAUAAACCAAAGAAAAUUGUCGACGCUGACCAAACAACAUCACCUCACCUCGUGGUUGGUUUCUCACCGCCGGAUUGCGAUUCCGCUGAAAUCGACACGCUGCCUCCGUCGCUGGAAUCUCCGGCGAUCGAAUCUCACGGUUUCGCUUAAUCAACCCCCGGUAACUCUUUAUAUCCUUACAUUCAGAAAUUAAAAGCGAUGGUAUCUGAAAUCAACGAAAUAAAGGUUUCUUGUUAAGGCAACUCCGAUGCGUGGAAAUCGAAUUGGAGCGUAGAUCAAAGUUGGAGAUUUUCUACUUCUCUUCUCCUUCUGUUUAGGACUCAACCACUGUUAAUCCUUGUGUUUUCUUUUUGUCAGGUGCUUUGGUGGGGAUCUUCCCUUUUGGCCAUGGACGUUACAGGACAAGCAGCGAAGAAAGAGGUUUCAAAGAUUGUAAACGAUGAAGUUUCAUCAAUCGAGAUCAAAGUAUUGUUAUUCGCCAGAGCGCGUGAGCUCACGGGUGUGCCUGAUCUAAAACUGAAGAUGCCAUCAGGUAGUACAACAAAGAAAUGUAUGGACGAAUUGGUCAUCAAGUUUCCAAAGUUAGAAGACGUACGCAGCUGCGUGGUUCUUGCUUUGAACGAGGAAUAUACAACUGAUUCGGCAAUUGUUAAACACCGAGAUGAGUUGGCCAUCAUACCUCCAAUAAGUGGUGGCUAAUGCCUUUUGUACUUGUAACUAAAUCCUCUUAACUUGGGGUUUUGUAUUUUCAUUGGCAAUAAAAUCAUAAAUGUAACAGUUAAAAGACUUGAAAAACUCGUUACUUUUUGUUCUAAACAACACAAAAAACAAAAAAAAAAUCUUUCUUUUGAUGAGAAAAAGGUUACAUUAGUUCCAGUUUGCUCUGUUUCUCCUACAAUCAUGACUUCUGUGUAUUGAUUUUGUAGUCUCUCUGUUGAUUUUGGCAAAGAAGCAGCCACAUUAUCAUAACCCAGUAGCCAAAUACAUUUCUUUUCGAUUUUCUUCUUUGUUCCACCAAUCAGGUAAAAGAAACGAACCUUUUGUACACAAGAAAAUGGAAAUGUAUGAGACAAGAGAAAGUAUUUGCUCUUAUAAUAUUAGUUGAACGCUUGUAUAUAUUAGAAAGGGAGCUAAUUUUUCCCGUAAAAGUUCUCUGCAGUUUGCGCUAUUACAUAUUAUAUGCAAAGAACAUCGAUUUCUUGCACCUGUUAUUGGUGUUUAACUCCUUGGUGAGAGAUAUAAAACUUCAGUGCAUCUUUUAGAGAUUGUGAUCUAUUGUCUGGUUCUCAACGACCAAACAUAUGGAACUGUUUAUUUUCCCUGAUCAUGUACGCUUUGGUACCGUUCCCGGAUAGAGGAUAGAGAAAUAAACGGAGGAGGUAUGAAAGCGAGAACAGAGAUAUAUACAUUGUACAGAGGAGUCUAAUUGUAUUAAACACUUGCAGGGUAGGAUCACUUUUUAUCACACAUUAGGAUUUGAGAUAUAUAUUACAAGACACCAAAGGAAUUAAUCAAUGAUGUUAAGUAGAUGAACCAAACAAGAAACAAGUGUAUUGAUAUGAUGCAAGGUGUCUGCUUCAGGAAGAGAUUUCGUGGAAGUGAGGGAGCAUCGAAUUCUCAUUUGCAAAAACCAGAUAAAGUAAACUCGGUGUGUUGAUCUGUGAUGAGGUACGCAGGGGGAAGCAAAGCCGCGACAUGUAUAGACGAGCAUCUCUAGUUCUUGUAAUCGACCGAAUUUUUUUAUUCCUGAUUCUUAAUACACAAUUCUCCGGACCCAUCAUACAUUUUUAUGCAUUACAUCAUUGACCGGACAUGCAAUCCACAGUUAAGAUUGAUGUAUUUUUUAAAUUCAGAUACACAAAGUAAGAGAGAGAUAAGAGAGAUUACGAAUCUAAACUUAUUAGCUUCCUUACACCCUUCAAGACCAUCCACGCAAGGUUUACUGAUCAGUACAUGAGUUUCAGGUUUAGGAAAGCCAACCCAACUGGCUUACACUUAAUUUGCCUUUUGAUUGAUCCAUCCAUUUGCUUGUUAUUCUUACCAAUACUUUGUUUAGAUAUGUUCAUUGCCAUGUUGGUUGUUUCAUCCCCUGCAAAUAAAUUAUACAUUAGUUGACUAAUCCACACUUCUUGACAUUUUCUUUAGAUUUUUUGUUAUUGUGCUUUACUGUGUCUAACUAUGAUGUAAAAUAACGGAUUCAAACAAUCAAAAGUAAGAACAAUUCCAAGAAGUAAAAACGUUCUUGGUCAAAAUCUUCUUGAGUAGACAUCGAUAAGAACAUUGUCCAAGUAUUUUACAUUUCUUUAUUUGUUGCUUGAAUUAACAAAUGAGACUUCUUUUCCUGUUUGGAAUGAAAAAUUAAAGAAUAUCAGUUCUUGUGGUACUAAUUCUGGCAGCCUUAUUUUACACCAUCAUCUUUUAUACAAAAAGGGUAAGGUCGCCCAUAAGUUAUGGGCCAUAACUAUGUCAUAUGCAUAGUUACCACAUAUACUAAGCAAGUGUGUUGGGUUUAGUUGCAUGUAAUUAACUCAAAAUAGAACUGGUCAAAUAUAACAACAGUAGAGUACCUUUCCGCUAAAAUUACUUCAAACAUGUAAUUUACAAUAUUAAGAAAAUAAAAAAUAUUUUAUUUGUUUUCUCAAUGUCAUAUUAGACUUUUUCUGAUUCCUAUAGAACAAAGGAAUAAGCAUGGUGCAUACCAAGUAAAAUUCUGAACCUAAACAGUUACCCAUUUCUCCGGUCAAAACGCUUGCUUACGUGCACCCACCCUCAAGAGCAGCAAAGCAAGCUUGACAGAGCAUGGAAACCUGAGUUUAUGGUCAAAGGAAGAUGUCUUUGCACCAUCUAUUCGCUUGUUGUAGUUACCAACUGCACUUCGUUGAGAUAUGUUCAUUUCCCUGUUUAUUGUUGCUCCAUUCUUUGCAAAAUAAACUAUAAUUUAGUUGACUAAGACACACAGCUUGACAUAUUCUUUAGAUUUUGUGUGUCUGCUCUUUGUUGUUCUACAUUUGAUGUAAAAUAAGAGAUUCAAACAAUCAAAAGUUAGAACAGUUCCAAGAAGUAGAGCAGAAUCAUUCUUGGUCAAACUCUUCUUGAGCAGUCAUCUCUAUAAAUGUUUGGGAGUUCUCGAUAUUAGUCUCCAAUUACAUUUCAUCUCUUUCUCUUUCUUUGUGGCUUGAGAUUUGAAAUGGGACUCCUUUUUAUGCUUGGAAUGAAGAAUUACAGAAUUUUUGUGGUGCUAACUCUGCUAAUAAUUCUCAAUGGGCAGAGCAGUCUCGAGGCAAGAGCUGGUGCGGACAGAAAGGUACUAGACAAUGAUUAUUAUUAUUUUUUGACCAGUAACAUAAGCAGACACCAGUAGACUAACAAAGUUGGUUCUGUUGUUGUAAACUAUAAUAGGUUCAUAUAGUGUAUUUGGGUGAGAAGCAGCAUGAUGAUCCUGAGUUUGUCACAGAUUCUCAUCAUCAGAUGUUGUGGUCUCUUCUUGGAAGGUAUGUGAGACUAGUUUCUCUUCCCAAGUUUAUAUUAAUGCCUCAAACUGUUACUCAGAUUUCUAGAGUUUUGUGUUUGUUCCCAUGAUUACAGUAAAGAGGAUGCUCAUGAUUCUAUGGUGUACAGUUACCGACAUGGCUUCUCAGGUUUUGCAGCCAAGCUUACCAAAUCUCAAGCCAAACAAAUAGCAGGUACCACAUAUCAUGUCUCUAAGUCUCAUAUAUUUUCUUGGCUUUCUUGUAAGAAAAACACCUACGUCAUACAUCUACAUGCCAUCUUCAUUUGCCACGUCAAACACAUCUGAAAUGUUUCUCACUGCUAAUUAUGUGGCAACAGAUUUACCUGAGGUGGUUCACGUCACACCUGAUAGUUUCUACGAACUGACAACAACUCGUACGUGGGACUACUUAGGACUUUCAGCCGCCACUCCGAAAAAUCUUCUAAAUGACAGUAAUAUGGGUGAAGAAGUUAUCAUUGGCGUUGUGGACACAGGUUGGAGUGUUAAUUUAUUUGUACAUACAUGUCCUGUUGCUUCUGAAUAAUCAAUUAAAAAAAAAACAUAUUCUGAUUGUGCAGGAGUAUGGCCAGAAUCUGAAGUCUUUAACGACAAUGGUAUUGGACCGGUGCCAAAACACUGGAAAGGAGGCUGUGAAUCAGGAGAGGAUUUCAACUCCUCUCACUGCAACAAAAAGCUCAUAGGAGCCAAAUAUUUCAUCAAUGGGUUUCUUGCGGAGAACGAAAGCUUCAACGAGACAGAAUCACCAGACUUUAUUUCCCCUAGAGACUAUGAUGGUCAUGGCACGCAUGUCGCUACCAUAGCUGGUGGUUCGGUCUUGCCUGGCAUAAGCUACAAGGGCCUUGCCGGAGGGACGGUGAGAGGCGGGGCCCCUCGUGCUCGAAUAGCAAUGUACAAGGCUUGUUGGGACGAUUCUGGUUGUUAUUCAGCUGACAUCUUGAAAGCUAUGGAUGAAGCUAUACAUGAUGGUGUUGAUGUUUUGUCCCUGUCUCUUGGCUAUCGAGUUCCUUACUUCCCAGAAACUGAUGUUCGAGAUGCGAUAGCUACAGGGGCAUUCCAUGCCGUUUUAAAGGGUAUCACAGUUGUUUGUUCAGGUGGUAACUCUGGCCCAGCUGCUCAGACUGUGGGAAACGCGGCCCCUUGGAUCUUGACAGUGGCUGCAACUACUUUAGACCGGUCCUUCCCCACACCUCUUACACUUGGGAACAAUAAAGUCAUAUUGGUAACAUUAUAUACAUUGUUAUACCAUGUGUAAGAUGUUUACACAGCAAAUAAUAAUGUCUUAUUGUGAGUUCUUUAUCAGGGUCAAGCAAUGUACACAGGUCCAGAACUGGGUUUCACUAGCUUGGUUUACCCAGAGAAUCCAGGGAACAGCAAUGAAAGUUUCUAUGGGUAAUAUCUCUAGCUAGUUUCUUAUUAGGAUAAUAUAUGUUUAUUGUUCAAUAAAUCAUUUGCUAACUUUACUCUGGUUCUUGUAAUACAGUACAUGUGAGCUUCUUCUCUUCAACUCUAAUAGUACAAUGGAGGGGAAAGUUGUGUUGUGCUUCACAUCAUCGAAACGUUCCGGGGCUGUAUCAAGCGCUGCACGUUAUGUGAAGAAUGCUGGUGGUGUUGGAGUUAUUAUCGCAAGAAACCCAGGAGACACUCUCUCCCCAUGUCUAGAUGAUUUCCCUUGUGUUGCUGUUGACUACGAGCUGGGGACAAAUAUACUUCUCUACAUACGUUCCACUGGGUAUGAAGACAUGAGCUUUGAGAGAAGAAUGUGAUCAAACUCUGGUUCUUGUAUUACGGAUAAUGUGCUUGUUGUGGUUUGCAGAUCGCCUGUUGUGAAGAUACAACCUUCUAAAACACUCAUUGGACAACCCGUUGGUACGAAGGUGGCUGAGUUCUCAUCAAGAGGACCUAAUUCAAUUGCCCCUGCGAUCCUUAAAGUACGUCAGAGUCCAUGCACAUAACUUGUCUGUCUCAAGAUGCUUUUAAUCACAUAUCAUGUGUGGCAAUGCAGCCAGAUAUAGCAGCACCAGGAGUGAGCAUACUAGCAGCUACAAACACUAACACCACUUUCAACGACCAAGGAUUCAUUAUGCUCUCAGGAACAUCAAUGGCGGCUCCUGCCAUUUCAGGAGUUGUUGCACUUCUCAAAGCUACACACCGUGAUUGGUCUCCUGCUGCCAUUAGAUCAGCCAUUGUCACUACAGGUUCUUGCCUUCUUUGGAAAAGAUAAGACAACUAAUAGAGUCAACUCUUUAAGAACAUAUUUAUUCUGACAAAUGUGUUUUAAUAACUAUGCAGCUUGGAGAACAGAUCCAUCUGGAGAGCGGAUUUUUGCAGAAGGGUCACCCCGGAAGCUAGCUGAUCCGUUCGACUAUGGAGGAGGUCUUGUGAAUCCAGAGAAAGCAGCAAAACCAGGUCUUGUAUAUGACUUGGGCCUCGAAGACUAUGUUCUCUACAUGUGCACUGUUGGUUAUAACGAGUCAUCAAUCUCUCAGCUUGUGGGUAAAGGAACAAUCUGCUCGAAUCCCAUACCUUCCGUACUUGAUUUCAACUUGCCUUCUAUCACGGUCCCAAACCUCAAAGAAGAAG
RNAcentral lists this long non-coding RNA (23104 nucleotides) under Brassica napus (rape). RNAcentral describes it as "long non-coding RNA (BNAP_LNC022516)". Lineage: Eukaryota; Viridiplantae; Streptophyta; Magnoliopsida; Brassicales; Brassicaceae. The record is from RNAcentral.